GCAACCCGACUCCACGAAGCUGGAUUCGCUAGUAAUCGCGCAUCAGCCACGGCGCGGUGAAUACGUUCCCGGGCCUUGUACACACCGCCCGUCAAGCCAUGGGAGCCGGGGGUACCUGAAGUGCGUAACCGCGAGGAGCGCCCUAGGGUAAAACUGGUGAUUGGGGCUAAGUCGUAACAAGGUAGCCGUACCGGAAGGUGCGGCUGGAACACCUCCUUU
RNAcentral lists this ribosomal RNA (219 nucleotides) under Escherichia coli. RNAcentral describes it as "partial 16S ribosomal RNA". It matches the Rfam family "Bacterial small subunit ribosomal RNA", at positions 1307 to 1533 of the family's 1533-position model. Lineage: Bacteria; Pseudomonadati; Pseudomonadota; Gammaproteobacteria; Enterobacterales; Enterobacteriaceae. The record is from RNAcentral.